CAGAAUCAAAACAAAAACAGACGAAUAUUUACCCACGUGUGUGAUGCAAUUUUUCAAGUUUUAAAGGUUAAAAAUCUAAUAAGUUCUAGACCUUCCGAAAAUGGAGAAUGUUGGAGGACUAUUUGAACACUCUCCGGACGGAGACAGGGUUGCAGUUUCUUUCGGAAACAAAAUAUCUGUUCUCAAUUCCGAAUCAG
Eurytemora carolleeae is the source of this 197-nucleotide long non-coding RNA. RefSeq lists it as uncharacterized. The transcript has 2 exons. The record is from RefSeq and is a predicted model, not a curated record. Lineage: Eukaryota; Metazoa; Arthropoda; Copepoda; Calanoida; Temoridae.